Molecule: ribosomal RNA, 510 nt
Filed under: uncultured bacterium
Lineage: Bacteria
Description: bacterial SSU rRNA
Rfam family: Bacterial small subunit ribosomal RNA
Source: RNAcentral
AGAGUUGAUCAUGGCUCAGGACGAACGCUGGCGGCGUGCCUAACACAUGCAAGUCGAGCGGAGUCGGUAAGAGGAAGUUUCGGAUGGAAUCUAUUGAUUAGCGGCGGACGGGCGAGUAACGCGUGAGCGACCAACCUUGCACAGGGGGAUAACGGACCGAAAGGUUCACUAAUACCGCAUGAGACCACGGUGUUGCAUGACACAGAGGUCAAAGGAGCAAUCCGGUGCAAGACGGGCUCGCGUCCGAUUAGGUAGUUGGAGGGGUAACGGCCCACCAAGCCUAUGAUCGGUAGCCGACCUGAGAGGGUGAUCGGCCACAUUGGAACUGAGAUACGGUCCAAACUCCUACGGGAGGCAGCAGUGGGGAAUAUUGGGGCAAUGGGGGAAACCCUGACCCAGCAACGCCGCGUGAAGGAAGAAGGUUUUCGGAUUGUAAACUUCUGUCCUUGGUGAAGAGAAGAAGACGGUAGCCAAGGAGGAAGCCCCGGCUAACUACGUGCCAGCCGCCGC